Molecule: transfer RNA, 68 nt
Filed under: Caudoviricetes sp.
Lineage: Duplodnaviria; Heunggongvirae; Uroviricota; Caudoviricetes
Description: tRNA-Val
Rfam family: tRNA
About the family: Transfer RNA (tRNA) molecules are approximately 80 nucleotides in length. Their secondary structure includes four short double-helical elements and three loops (D, anti-codon, and T loops). Further hydrogen bonds mediate the characteristic L-shaped molecular structure. tRNAs have two regions of fundamental functional importance: the anti-codon, which is responsible for specific mRNA codon recognition, and the 3' end, to which the tRNAs corresponding amino acid is attached (by aminoacyl-tRNA synthetases). tRNAs cope with the degeneracy of the genetic code in two manners: having more than one tRNA (with a specific anti-codon) for a particular amino acid; and 'wobble' base-pairing, i.e. permitting non-standard base-pairing at the 3rd anti-codon position.
Source: RNAcentral
CUUAGCUCAGCUGGGAGAGCAUCUGCCUUACAAGCAGAGGGUCACAGGUUCGAGCCCUGUAGGUCCCA